UACGUAGGGUGCAAGCGUUGUCCGGAAUUAUUGGGCGUAAAGAGCUCGUAGGCGGUUUGUCGCGUCUGCUGUGAAAACCCGAGGCUCAACCUCGGGCCUGCAGUGGGUACGGGCAGACUAGAGUGCGGUAGGGGAGACUGGAAUUCCUGGUGUAGCGGUGAAAUGCGCAGAUAUCAGGAGGGAACACCGGUGGGCGAAGGCGGGGUCUCUGGGCCGUAACUGACGCUGGAGGAGCGAAAGCCGUGGGGAGCGAACAGG
Molecule: ribosomal RNA, 258 nt
Filed under: uncultured bacterium
Lineage: Bacteria
Description: partial 16S ribosomal RNA
Rfam family: Bacterial small subunit ribosomal RNA
Source: RNAcentral